CCUACGGGAGGCAGCAGUGGGGAAUCUUGCGCAAUGGGCGAAAGCCUGACGCAGCAACGCCGCGUGCGGGAAGAAGGCUUUCGGGCUGUAAACCGCUUUCAGCAGGAACGAAAAUGACGGUACCUGCAGAAGAAGGAGCGGCCAACUAUGUGCCAGCAGCCGCGGUGAUACAUAGGCUUCAAGCGUUGUCCGGAUUUAUUGGGCGUAAAGAGUUCGUAGGCGGUCGAGUAAGUCGGGUGUGAAAAUUCUGGGCUCAACCCAGAGACGCCACCCGAUACUGCUUAACUUGAGUUCGAUAGGAGAGUGGGGAAUUCCUAGUGUAGCGGUGAAAUGCGCAGAUAUUAGGAGGAACACCGGUGGCGAAGGCGCCACUCUGGAUCGAUACUGACGCUGAGGAACGAAAGCAUGGGUAGCAAACAGGAUUAGAUACCCUGGUAGUCCAUGCCGUAAACGGUGGGCACUAGGUGUGGGAUUCUAUUAACGAAUUCCGCGCCGUCGCUAACGCAUUAAGUGCCCCGCCUGGGGAGGUACGGUCGCGAGACUAAACUAAAGUAAGUAGACGGCGNGAGACGNGCCGACGACGACGACGAGGGAGGUAGG
Molecule: ribosomal RNA, 600 nt
Filed under: uncultured bacterium
Lineage: Bacteria
Description: bacterial SSU rRNA
Rfam family: Bacterial small subunit ribosomal RNA
Source: RNAcentral